Molecule: transfer RNA, 91 nt
Filed under: Pseudohongiella nitratireducens
Lineage: Bacteria; Pseudomonadati; Pseudomonadota; Gammaproteobacteria; Pseudomonadales; Pseudohongiellaceae
Description: tRNA-Gly
Source: RNAcentral
CCAGUUGUACGCCAUGGAUAGCAAUGGCGACGGUGUGCCGGAUCGUGACAGCAGUGGACAGGUUGUUCCUGCUUCAGGUGCAGCAACAGGC